Molecule: long non-coding RNA, 227 nt
Filed under: Erythranthe guttata (spotted monkey flower)
Lineage: Eukaryota; Viridiplantae; Streptophyta; Magnoliopsida; Lamiales; Phrymaceae
Description: long non-coding RNA (EGUT_LNC002722)
Source: RNAcentral
GAGACACUAUUUGAAUCAAAAAAUUUCCUGUACAAAUCAAGAUAUACAACUUCAAAUAAAAAUAUAUAACAUUUACCAAAGAUUUUUUCCUUACAAUAUGAUUUGUAGAAAAAAAGUACAUACAUGGUAAACUAGUCUGGUCAGUAGUAAACCUAACUAUAAUCAGACAAGAACUCCGUAAAAUGCAGCAACAGUACAAUCGAUAGCAUUUCUUUCUCUUCCCUGCU